RNAcentral lists this transfer RNA (75 nucleotides) under Chloroflexi bacterium 13_1_20CM_66_33. RNAcentral describes it as "tRNA-Met". It matches the Rfam family "tRNA". Rfam says of the family: Transfer RNA (tRNA) molecules are approximately 80 nucleotides in length. The record is from RNAcentral. RNAcentral also lists the same sequence under 6 other names. Lineage: Bacteria; Bacillati; Chloroflexota.
CGCGGCGUGGAGCAGUGGAAGCUCGUCGGGCUCAUAACCCGAAGGUCGCGAGUUCGAAUCUCGCCGCCGCAACCA